RNAcentral lists this ribosomal RNA (1042 nucleotides) under uncultured bacterium. RNAcentral's name for it is "bacterial SSU rRNA". It matches the Rfam family "Bacterial small subunit ribosomal RNA", at positions 8 to 1064 of the family's 1533-position model. The record is from RNAcentral.
AGAGUUUGAUCCUGGCUCAGGAUGAACGCUGGCGGCGUGCUUUAUGCAUGCAAGUCGAACGAGAAGGGGCGGACUUCGGUCCGGCCUGGAGAGUGGCGAACGGGUGAGUAACACGUGAGUGACCUGCCCCGAGGUGGGGGACAACCGUGGGAAACCACGGCUAAUACCCCGUAGUCCUGUGCGCAUUGGUCGCGUACAGGUAUAGCUCCGGCGCCUCGGGAGGGGCUCGCGGUCGAUUAGCUAGUUGGUGGGGUAACGGCCUACCAAGGUGACGAUCGAUAGCUGGUCUGAGAGGACGAUCAGCCACACUGGGACUGAGAUACGGCCCAGACUCCUACGGGGGGCAGCAGCAAGGAAUAUUGGACAAUGGGCGCAAGCCUGAUCCAGCAACGCCGCGUGGAGGAAGAAGGCUUCGGUUGUAAACUCCUUUUGUGAGGGAUGAGACAAGGACAGUACCUCACGAAUAAGUCACGGCUAACUAGGUGCCAGCAGCCGCGGUAACACCUAGGUGACAAGCGUUAUCCGGAUUUACUGGGCGUAAAGGGCUCGAAGGCGGCAGCUCAAGUCCGGCGUGAAAUCUCCUGGCUUAACCAGGAGGGGUCGUCGGAUACUGUGCUGCUAGAGGCAGUGAGAGGGGUGCGGAAUUCUCGGUGGAGUGGUGGAAUACGUAGAUAUCGAGAGGAACACCAGUGGCGAAAGCGGCGCCCUGGCACUGACCUGACGUUCAUGAGCGAAAGCGUGGGGAGCGAACGGGAUUAGAUACCCCGGUAGUCCACGCUGUAAACGAUGAGUACUAGGUGUAGGCGACAACCGUGGUCUGUGCCGAAGCUAACGCGAUAAGUACUCCGCCUGGGGACUACGGCCGCAAGGCUAAAACUCAAAGGAAUUGACGGGGACCCGCACAAGCAGCGGAGCGUGUUGUUUAAUUCGAUGUAACGCGAAGAACCUUACCUGGGUUUGACAUGUGCGUAGUAGUGAAGCGAAAGCCGAACGACCCUUCGGGGAGCGUACACAGGUGUUGCAUGGCUGUCGUCAGCUCGUG